GACGAACCGUGCGAACGUUGUUCGGAAUCACUGGGCUUAAAGGGCGCGUAGGCGGGUUGGCAAGUCAGGGGUGAAAUCUUUCAGCUUAACUGGAAAACAGCCCCUGAUACUGCGAGUCUCGAGGGAGGUAGGGGCAUGUGGAACUCCCGGUGGAGCGGUGAAAUGCGUAGAUAUCGGAAGGAACGCCGGUGGCGAAAGCGACGUGCUGGGCCUCUUCUGACGCUGAGGCGCGAAAGCUAGGGGAGCAAACGGG
Molecule: ribosomal RNA, 253 nt
Filed under: uncultured bacterium
Lineage: Bacteria
Description: partial 16S ribosomal RNA
Rfam family: Bacterial small subunit ribosomal RNA
Source: RNAcentral